Molecule: long non-coding RNA, 1168 nt
Organism: Acyrthosiphon pisum (pea aphid)
Lineage: Eukaryota; Metazoa; Arthropoda; Insecta; Hemiptera; Aphididae
Exons: 3
Source: RefSeq, a predicted model, not a curated record
AUAAACCUUUCUUCGAAGUGCACAGUGUACGCACUGGCCUAUCUAUUCCUACCUACAUUUUGUGGUUUUCAUGACGCACACAAAUUAUACAUAAUAUUAUGGCAUCAGUAAAAACUGGUCAUCGGUCGUUAAACAAAAAUGUUCUGGAUCUUGACUAUAUUUAAGUAGAUAUUAAUUAUUAUUUGCGUGUUUGAUCUGCGAUCCAUAACGUUUGCUUUUCUUUUAUAUUGGUCCGCAGAUAGCGUGUCUCAAAGGCAAAUCUUCGACAAGACGAUACAAGCCAAUCAGUUGAACAUCGUGGAAGCCCAUGGUAUCCUUCUGUUCAGGACCGAAAAAGGGCGCGACAGCAAGAUAUACGUGUUCAGACUGUCUGAGUUCGAUGCGGACAUGCAGACGGAAGUAAAAAGCAAACCGGACCUCAAAGAUCAUAAACUAGAACGCACGAGGGGCUGCAGUAUGUACGCGAUUAGUAAGCCCGGUGGUUCGAGGCUCAAAAUGGUAAUCUGUGUGAACCGCAAACUGACGCUGAUGCAGUGGAAACACUCGGCAGCCUGGACAGCUUGGUGCCCAGCCAGCGAUACGGACACAGUCGAAGGGUUCAUGUAUCUGAGGGUAAAUAUAAUAUUGUUCUGCAUAAUACACGUAUAAAUACAGGUAUAAUACUACUGAUAAUAUCGUCGGGACUCGGGUUUCGGAAAAUAACAAGAAUAAGUCAAACAAACUAAUUUAUAUUAAGGUUGUACGCGUUAAUUCGCUUUACGUCUUAUCUUUAUUCAAAUAUAUUUUACUAAUCAUUGGCAUUUAUGUAGAAGUGAAGUUCGUUAGUUAACGAGCGCGAAGUUGUGAUCAAAAUUAAUUCGGGAAGCAAACUUCACAGUUCACACUAGCUCUCUAUCUUUGUCCAAUUCACUCGAUGUACAUAAUUAUUGAUGGCUAAUAUUAAACCAUUGCACGUUUAUAAUUAUAAUUGUUGUAUCUUGUACAACAACUUAGAUUUUAACGGAUAAAGAAAACAUUACUUUUUAAAUACAUUCUUUUAUUUUAAUGACAAGACACAACUCAAACACAUUUUAUCUUCGGUUACUCAAGAGAAAACUAACAUAAUAUAGACUAUAGUAUGACUAUGCGUUAUCAACAACUUCUAACUCAUACAGUGUCACACUUUGUG